Molecule: non-coding RNA, 110 nt
Filed under: Rothia terrae
Lineage: Bacteria; Bacillati; Actinomycetota; Actinomycetes; Micrococcales; Micrococcaceae
Description: Glycine riboswitch
Rfam family: Glycine riboswitch aptamer
About the family: This family represents the bacterial glycine riboswitch. Glycine riboswitches usually consist of two metabolite-binding aptamers domains with similar structures in tandem.
Source: RNAcentral
CAACUCUGGAGAGGGGGGGUAACACCUCCACCGAAGGGGCAAGCGUUCGUAUAGGUUUUGCGUGGAAACCUUUAAACGUGAAAACUCUCAGGUCUACGACAGAGCGGGGA